This 90-nucleotide transfer RNA is filed under the name Candidatus Woesebacteria bacterium GWC2_33_12. RNAcentral describes it as "tRNA-Ser". It matches the Rfam family "tRNA". From Rfam's summary of the family: Transfer RNA (tRNA) molecules are approximately 80 nucleotides in length. Their secondary structure includes four short double-helical elements and three loops (D, anti-codon, and T loops). The record is from RNAcentral. RNAcentral also lists the same sequence under 2 other names. Lineage: Bacteria; Candidatus Woeseibacteriota.
GGAGAGGUCGCAUAGUGGCCUAGUGCGCUCGAUUGGAAAUCGGGUAUAGCCGUAAGGUUAUCGAGGGUUCAAAUCCCUCCCUCUCCGCCA